RNAcentral lists this ribosomal RNA (253 nucleotides) under uncultured bacterium. RNAcentral describes it as "partial 16S ribosomal RNA". It matches the Rfam family "Bacterial small subunit ribosomal RNA", at positions 524 to 776 of the family's 1533-position model. The record is from RNAcentral.
UACGUAGGGUGCAAGCGUUAAUCGGAAUUACUGGGCGUAAAGCGUGCGCAGGCGGUGAUGUAAGACAGAUGUGAAAUCCCCGGGCUCAACCUGGGAACUGCAUUUGUGACUGCAUCGCUGGAGUACGGCAGAGGGGGAUGGAAUUCCGCGUGUAGCAGUGAAAUGCGUAGAUAUGCGGGGGAACACCGAUGGCGAAGGCAAUCCCCUGGGCCUGUACUGACGCUCAUGCAUGAAAGCGUGGGGAGCAAACAGG